GUUUGAUCCUGGCUCAGAAUCAACGCUGGCGGCGUGCCUCAGACAUGCAAGUCGAACGAUUAAAGCUCCCUUCGGGGAGUGCAUAAAGUGGCGCACGGGUGAGUAACACGUAAGUAAUCUACCCUCGGGUGGGGAAUAGCGUCCGGAAACGGACGCUAAUACCGCAUAAUGCAGCGGCACCGCAAGGUGACAGUUGUUAAAGACUUAUUGCCUGAGGAGGAGCUUGCGGCAGAUUAGCUUGUUGGUAAGGUAACGGCUUACCAAGGCUACGGUCUAUAUCCGGUCUAAGAGGACGGUCGGACACACUGACACUGAAUAACGGGUCAGACUCCUACGGGAGGCAGCAGUCGGGAAUUUUGGGCAAUGGGGGAAACCCUGACCCAGCAACGCCGCGUGAAGGAUGAAGUAUUUCGGUAUGUAAACUUCGAAAGAAUAGGAAGAAUUAAUGACGGUACUAUUUAUAAGGUCCGGCUAACUACGUGCCAGCAGCCGCGGUAAUACGUAGGGACCAAGCGUUGUUCGGAUUUACUGGGCGUAAAGGGCGCGUAGGCGGCGCGGUAAGUCACUUGUGAAAUCUCUGAGCUUAACUCAGAACGGCCAAGUGAUACUGCAGUGCUAGAGUGUGGAAGGGGCAAUCGG
RNAcentral lists this ribosomal RNA (639 nucleotides) under uncultured bacterium. RNAcentral describes it as "bacterial SSU rRNA". It matches the Rfam family "Bacterial small subunit ribosomal RNA", at positions 11 to 664 of the family's 1533-position model. The record is from RNAcentral.